This 484-nucleotide ribosomal RNA is filed under the name uncultured bacterium. RNAcentral's name for it is "partial 16S ribosomal RNA". It matches the Rfam family "Bacterial small subunit ribosomal RNA", at positions 30 to 507 of the family's 1533-position model. The record is from RNAcentral.
AUUGAACGCUGGCGGCAGGCCUAACACAUGCAAGUCGAGCGGAUGAAGGGAGCUUGCUCCUGGAUUCAGCGGCGGACGGGUGAGUAAUGCCUAGGAAUCUGCCUGGUAGUGGGGGAUAACGUCCGGAAACGGGCGCUAAUACCGCAUACGUCCUGAGGGAGAAAGUGGGGGAUCUUCGGACCUCACGCUAUCAGAUGAGCCUAGGUCGGAUUAGCUAGUUGGUGGGGUAAAGGCCUACCAAGGUGACGAUCCGUAACUGGUCUGAGAGGAUGAUCAGUCACACUGGAACUGAGACACGGUCCAGACUCCUACGGGAGGCAGCAGUGGGGAAUAUUGGACAAUGGGCGAAAGCCUGAUCCAGCCAUGCCGCGUGUGUGAAGAAGGUCUUCGGAUUGUAAGGCACUUUAAGUUGGGAGGAAGGGCAGUAAGUUAAUACCUUGCUGUUUUGACGUUACCGACAGAAUAAGCACCGGCUAACUUCGUG